RNAcentral lists this ribosomal RNA (527 nucleotides) under uncultured bacterium. Its description in RNAcentral is "partial 16S ribosomal RNA". It matches the Rfam family "Bacterial small subunit ribosomal RNA", at positions 355 to 871 of the family's 1533-position model. The record is from RNAcentral.
UGGGGAAUAUUGGACAAUGGGCGCAAGCCUGAUCCAGCAAUGCCGCGUGUGUGAAGAAGGCCUUCGGGUUGUAAAGCACUUUUAUCAGGAGCGAAACGCUGUCGGCUAAUACCCGGCGGAACUGACGGUACCUGAGGAAUAAGCACCGGCUAACUUCGUGCCAGCAGCCGCGGUAAUACGAAGGGUGCAAGCGUUAAUCGGAAUUACUGGGCGUAAAGCGUGCGUAGGCGGUUUCUUAAGUCUGCUGUGAAAUCCCGGGGCUCAACCUGGGAAUGGCAGUGGAUACUGGGAGGCUAGAGUGUGUCAGAGGGUGGUGGAAUUCCCGGUGUAGCGGUGAAAUGCGUAGAGAUCGGGAGGAACAUCAGUGGCGAAGGCGGCCACCUGGGACAACACUGACGCUGAGGCACGAAAGCGUGGGGGAGCAAACAGGAUUAGGAUACCCUGGUAGUCCACGCCCUAAACGAUGCGAACUGGAUGUUGGUCUCAACUCGGAGAUCAGUGUCGAAGCUAACGCGUUAAGUUCGCCG